AUUGAACGCUGGCGGCAUGCUUUACACAUGCAAGUCGAACGGCAGCGCGGGCUUCGGCCUGGCGGCGCGUGGCGAACGGGUGAGUAAUGCAUCGGAACGUGCCCAGCUGUGGGGGAUAGCCCGGCGAAAGCCGGAUUAAUACCGCAUACGACCUGAGGGUGAAAGCGGGGGACCGAAAGGCCUCGCGCUAUUGGAGCGGCCGAUGUCGGACUAGCUAGUUGGUGGGGUAAAGGCUUACCAAGGCGACGAUCCGUAGCUGGUCGGAGAGGACGACCAGCCACACUGGGACUGAGACACGGCCCAGACUCCUACGGGAGGCAGCAGUGGGGAAUUUUGGACAAUGGGGGCAACCCUGAUCCAGCCAUGCCGCGUGCGGGAAGAAGGCCUUCGGGUUGUAAACCGCUUUUGUUCGGGAAGAAAUCCUCUGGGCUAAUACCCCGGGGGGAUGACGGUACCGGAAGAAUAAGCACCGGCUAACUACGUG
Molecule: ribosomal RNA, 484 nt
Filed under: uncultured bacterium
Lineage: Bacteria
Description: partial 16S ribosomal RNA
Rfam family: Bacterial small subunit ribosomal RNA
Source: RNAcentral